This is an RNA transcript of Aethalodelphis obliquidens (Pacific white-sided dolphin), 4079 nucleotides long. It is a transcript of the gene named NEDD4 binding protein 2 like 2, with no coding region annotated. The record is from RefSeq and is a predicted model, not a curated record. The transcript is spliced from 11 exons. Lineage: Eukaryota; Metazoa; Chordata; Mammalia; Artiodactyla; Delphinidae.
ACCGGGAGGUGGCCGCCAUCUUGCGUACGGAGGGCAGACUUGUAGCUCCGCUCUUGUGGCUCGGGCUUUCAGUCCCUCCCGGUCUCUGCUUUGGGCCGUGUCUCCGUGCUUCUUUCACCGUCUUUAUUGAGAGGUAAAGGUCAAUGCAGAACUGUGUUAUAAGAUGCCUUAUGGUGAAAUUGAAGCUAAAUCCAUGGGACAUGGGGAAGAACUAAUAAGUGAACCACGCUAUAAGAAAUUGAAGUCUACUGAAGAGGCAUAUGUUUUCCCCCAUCAUGGUAAUGCUAAUUUUCACAGAAAGCAAAAGAAAACUGGAAAUGAUUGGGUCCCUGUGACCAUCACUGAUGUCAGAGGACGUAGUUAUCCUCAGGAGGACAAAACCAAAGCUAGAAGUUUGCUGAAACCUGUGCAUGAUGAGAUGCUUGGUAAUAGACGAGAUGUUAUUAAUUCUGUUGAUUCACAAGUUUUACAGGAUACACGUCCUCCAUUGGUAUCCACAGAUGAUGAGAUAUAUAGCACAAGUAAAGCAUUUAUAGGACCCAUUUACAAACCCCCUGAGAAAAAGAAAUGUAAUGAAAGGAGGAAUCGAGCAGACACUAUCAGUGGUAUAGGUGGGAAAGGAGAACGAAAAGAGAAACAGAAAUUUAAUUAUAAAAAAUCAGAGAUUGACAAUGAAUUAUUCCAGUUUUACAAAGAAAUUGAAGAGCUUGAAAAUGAAAAAGGUGAUUCAGAAAGCAGUUGUAAGGAACGUGAACCCUCUGAGGAACAACUCAUUCCGUAUUAUCAGGGCCAUAAUAAUCUGUUAAAAUCUGAAGAAGAAAAGAGAAGAGAUCUUACCAGUGCCCUUCAGUCAUAUUGGGGUUAUCAGCAGUGCGUGGGGAAUGAGCCAGGUAAAUAUCCUUAUAAUCGACAAGUAAUACCUACCUUUUGUGACAGUUCAUUUGCUUCCUUCAGGCCUGAGUGGCAAUCAGUGCAUUCUUUUUUAGUACCACAAGACCCUCAUCUUUCCAGUUUUAACUAUCACUUAAAUAUUCAAAGAUUCAACGUUCCACCAAAUCCAUCACCAAAUAUUUUCCAUGCCCAAGAUGGCUUUCAGAUGCAAAAUGGAUAUUAUGUAAAUAGUUGUCAUGUUAACUGGAAUUGUUUGACUUUUGAUCAGAACAAUGGAUAUACUGACUGUAGUGACAUUACCAGUAGUGACCAUCCCUCUAGAAAUGGCUACACUGUGCAAGAUGAAUAUGCGAAUAAUGGUUUCUGUGAAACCAGUGAAGGAUGCUGGAAAGCUCCUUCUGUGGACAAGCAUAAUCGAACUGACAGGUUUAUGAACCAGCAUUUUCAAGAGGAAAAGUUAAAUAAAUUGCAGAAGUUACUUAUUCUUUUAAGAGGUUUGCCUGGUUCUGGGAAAACAACAUUGUCUCGAAUUCUGCUUGGUCAGAGUCGUGAUGGCAUUGUGUUCAGCACUGAUGACUAUUUCAACCAUCAAGAUGGGUACAGGUAUAAUGUUAAUCAACUUGGUGAUGCCCAUGACUGGAACCAGAACAGAGCAAAACAAGCUAUCAAUCAGGGGAGAUCUCCAGUUAUAAUAGACAACACUAAUACACAAGCUUGGGAAAUGAAACCAUAUGUGGAAAUGGCCAUAGGAAAAGGAUACAGAGUAGAGUUUCAUGAACCUGAAACUUGGUGGAAAUUUGAUCCUGAAGAAUUAGAAAAGAGGAAUAAACAUGGUGUUUCUCGAAAGAAGAUUGCUCAGAUGUUGGAUCGUUAUGAAUAUCAAAUGUCCAUCUCUAUUGUAAUGAAUUCAGUGGAACCGCCACACAAAAGCACACAAAGACCUCCUUCACAGGGGAGACAGAGGUAUAUUCUUAAUGGAAUAGUUCCCCCAGCUGCUACCUGCCAUUCUGAGUUGGUCUCCAUCACAAAGAAUAAAAUGGGCAUUACUCAUCAUAUUCAACUAAGAGAAAGAGAUUUGAAGAAAACUGGGCACAGGUUCGGCAAAGCCAAGAAGAGAAACAGAAAAAGAAACAAAAAGCAGAACAGUCAUAGUAAAAUCAUGGAGGAAAACUCAUUUGAAACCUUAAGUUAUCUUACACCAGAAGAUCAGGACCCAUCUCAGAAUGAAGAGGAAGACUUAGAAGAGACCAAAAGAGAAUCAGAGUAUUCCUUAACGGGUGAUCUGAGAAAUGAAGUAGGAGAUUUUGUGAAUGUCCAUAAAGAUGAGAGACAGGAAAACAUAAAUUUUGAAAACAGUUUGCCACAUGUUAUGUCUGUAGUUGAGUUGGACAAUACACCAAAGAAUUUCCUCCCCAAGGAAGAUGAUGACUUGUUUCUAAAUUUGUCAUUGAUGCCAAAUGAAAGCUCUGUUGCUUAUUCAACAGUGACUCAAAAUCUCCCCUAUGUAGCAAGUGAUGACUGCCCUGGCACAAAGAUAGAAAAGCAUAUAGAAAGUAGGGAUAUCAUGGCAUUACACAUCCAAGACCGAUUUGUUGAAACCCCACGCUCAUUUAUGCAGAAGAAAGAGAUGGUAGAUAAGAGUCUCCUGAAUGAAACAAGUCUGUACCAUCAAUAUGGAUCCAGAACUUCAGAUAAAGUUUUAAGAAAGGAACAAGGAGUAAAUACAUCUAAAAAUAAUUACUGGGCUUUUUUCUCAAAUGAUUUCUCUGAUGAAGAAUUACAGUUGGGCUCUGAUAGACAACCCUAUUUUGGUAGCUGGCCUGAGGGACCUAAUAAGUUUAUAUGUGAACAGAGACCAAAGAGAGAUAGAUGGCAAAAACUGGCUUAUCCUGACAACAGGAGACAAUUGAUUAAAUUGAUCUCUCCUUCUGAAGGAGCAUCAGGACCAGGAAACAGUCCUGAAACAUUGAUAGAAGAGAAGCUAUCGAUAGAAAAUGAAGAUUUGUCACCUCCAACUGAGAAUAUAGAUUCAAUCAUAGAAACAGAGACAAAUAUCUUUGGAAGCCACUUCCUUAAGCUGGAUAGCCUAAAGAAUGCCUUACACUCAAUAAAGAAUAAAAAAAGGAGGCAGAAAAGGAUUUUCAGUUUGGCACCAAACUUUAACUUACUGGGACAGAGUCAUAUCAAUGUAAAAGAAAUGGGGGAAUGUGAAUUGUUAACAGAAAGCCAUGGAAUAAAAAUUAUUUUGGAAGAAAAAAAAGAUGUCAUUUCAGAAAUAAAUAAUGAAGAAGAGAAUAAGCAAAACAUUAUGACCUUCAAUCAUCAUCCAUCAUGGUUUUACUUUGACAUUGUCAAAGAUUCUCUUCUAAAUGUUGGUGGACAAUUUUAUUCUCAUUACCUGCUAUUUAAUAGACUAAGGCACUCUGUGUAUUUUUACAAAAGCCCCAUUCCUUCUCUUAUGCUACAAUAUACAUCUAGCUUUUGGAAGAUAUCUUUUACAAGCAAGAAACCGUUUUUGACUUCCAACUCUCAGAGGAGAGUAGAUGAUAAACUAAAUGAUGUAAGGUUCACUUCUUCAGAAAUUUUAAGUAGCCCACCUGAUACUUUGUACUCUUUUAGGGUCACUAAUGAUCUUCACUUUUUAAAUGAAAGUUUUGGUGAAAAGCUAGAGACAUGGGAAGAACCUAAACCAUUACAGUUCUCACAAACAGAGGAUAACCAAGAUGUAACAAGCACUGACUACUAUGAUUCCCUUGAGCUACCAUUAUCACAAGAGUUUGCCUUUCAACUAGUAAAGCUUUUUGGAUCUCCUGGAGUUCCAGUGGGUAAAUUGAGUUUAUUUGCUACAAAUAAAAAGUCCAGUUUAACAUAUAAUCUUUGUUGCCCGACGACUGUGUGGUUCCUCUUGACUGGAAGACACUGAAGAUGAUCUGUUUACAGUGGAAGACGUCAGUAGAGAAAAGACAGAAGAAGAUUGGUUAAAAAAAUGAGGAUUCUUUGAACUUUGAAGUCUCCGUCUUCCUGGUACUGUUGAAGACCCUCAUCAUCAAGAAAGAGUGCUAAGUGCCAAACUGAAGGAUAAUUUAGAGUGAUACACUCAGUGGAUACCGAAAUUGGUUUGAAUAAUCUGUUCAACUAUUCUUAAUCAGUUUCCUGAUUACUAAUAAAAAACUCAACGAAAGAGGUAA